UCGAACGAGUUCUUGUUGAUGAUCGGUGCUUGCACCAAGAUUCAACAUGCCACUAGUGGCGGACGGGUGAGUAACACGUGGGUAACCUGCCCUUAAGUGGGGGAUAACAUUUGGAAACAGAUGCUAAUACCGCAUAGAUCCAAGAACCGCAUGGUUCUUGGCUGAAAGAUGGCGUAAGCUAUCGCUUUUGGAUGGACCCGCGGCGUAUUAGCUAGUUGGUGAGGUAAUGGCUCACCAAGGCGAUGAUACGUAGCCGAACUGAGAGGUUGAUCGGCCACAUUGGGACUGAGACACGGCCCAAACUCCUACGGGAGGCAGCAGUAGGGAAUCUUCCACAAUGGACGCAAGUCUGAUGGAGCAACGCCGCGUGAGUGAAGAAGGCUUUCGGGUCGUAAAACUCUGUUGUUGGAGAAGAAUGGUCGGCAGAGUAACUGUUGUCGGCGUGACGGUAUCCAACCAGAAAGCCACGGCUAACUACGUGCCAGCAGCCGCGGUAAUACGUAGGUGGCAAGCGUUAUCCGGAUUUAUUGGGCGUAAAGCGAGCGCAGGCGGUUUUUUAAGUCUGAUGUGAAAGCCCUCGGCUUAACCGAGGAAGCGCAUCGGAAACUGGGAAACUUGAGUGCAGAAGAGGACAGUGGAACUCCAUGUGUAGCGGUGAAAUGCGUAGAUAUAUGGAAGAACACCAGUGGCGAAGGCGGCUGUCUGGUCUGUAACUGACGCUGAGGCUCGAAAGCAUGGGUAGCGAACAGGAUUAGAUACCCUGGUAGUCCAUGCCGUANACGAUGAAUGCUAGGUGUUGGAGGG
This 804-nucleotide ribosomal RNA is filed under the name uncultured bacterium. Its description in RNAcentral is "bacterial SSU rRNA". It matches the Rfam family "Bacterial small subunit ribosomal RNA", at positions 62 to 830 of the family's 1533-position model. The record is from RNAcentral.